CCCUCGAUGGUGUAGUUGGAUAUCACGUUCGGCUGUAAUUGUUACGCAUUCUGCUACCGAAAGGUCACCGGCUCGAUUCCGGUUCGAGGGA
Molecule: transfer RNA, 91 nt
Filed under: Cyphellophora attinorum
Lineage: Eukaryota; Fungi; Ascomycota; Eurotiomycetes; Chaetothyriales; Cyphellophoraceae
Description: Phialophora attae tRNA
Rfam family: tRNA
About the family: Transfer RNA (tRNA) molecules are approximately 80 nucleotides in length. Their secondary structure includes four short double-helical elements and three loops (D, anti-codon, and T loops). Further hydrogen bonds mediate the characteristic L-shaped molecular structure. tRNAs have two regions of fundamental functional importance: the anti-codon, which is responsible for specific mRNA codon recognition, and the 3' end, to which the tRNAs corresponding amino acid is attached (by aminoacyl-tRNA synthetases). tRNAs cope with the degeneracy of the genetic code in two manners: having more than one tRNA (with a specific anti-codon) for a particular amino acid; and 'wobble' base-pairing, i.e. permitting non-standard base-pairing at the 3rd anti-codon position.
Source: Rfam by way of RNAcentral